GAUGAACGCUAGCGGGAGGCCUAACACAUGCAAGCCGAGCGGUAUUGUUUCUUCGGAAAUGAGAGAGCGGCGUACGGGUGCGGAACACGUGUGCAACCUGCCUUUAUCUGGGGGAUAGCCUUUCGAAAGGAAGAUUAAUACUCCAUAACAUAUUGAUUGGCAUCAAUUAAUAUUGAAAGCUCCGGCGGAUAGAGAUGGGCACGCGCAAGAUUAGCUAGUUGGUGAGGUAACGGCUCACCAAGGCGAUGAUCUUUAGGGGGCCUGAGAGGGUGAUCCCCCACACUGGUACUGAGACACGGACCAGACUCCUACGGGAGGCAGCAGUGAGGAAUAUUGGUCAAUGGGUGCAAGCCUGAACCAGCCAUCCCGCGUGAAGGACGACUGCCCUAUGGGUUGUAAACUUCUUUUGUAUAGGGAUAAACCUACCCUCGUGAGGGUAGCUGAAGGUACUAUACGAAUAAGCACCGGCUAACUCCGUGCCAGCAGCCGCGGUAAUACGGAGGGUGCAAGCGUUAUCCGGAUUUAUUGGGUUUAAAGGGUCCGUAGGCGGACUUAUAAGUCAGUGGUGAAAGCCUGUCGCUUAACGAUAGAACUGCCAUUGAUACUGUAAGUCUUGAGUAUAUUUGAGGUAGCUGGAAUAAGUAGUGUAGCGGUGAAAUGCAUAGAUAUUACUUAGAACACCAAUUGCGAAGGCAGGUUACCAAGAUAUAACUGACGCUGAGGGACGAAAGCGUGGGGAGCGAACAGGAUUAGAUACCCUGGUAGUCCACGCCGUAAACGAUGCUAACUCGUUUUUGGGCUUUAGGGUUCAGAGACCAAGCGAAAGUGAUAAGUUAGCCACCUGGGGAGUACGCUCGCAAGAGUGAAACUCAAAGGGAUUGACGGGGGCCCGCACAAGCGGUGGAUUAUGUGGUUUAAUUCGAUGAUACGCGAGGAACCUUACCAAGACUCAAAUGGGAAUUGACAGCUUUAGAAAUAGAGCUUUCUUCGGACAAUUUUCAAGGUGCUGCAUGGUUGUCGUCAGCUCGCGCCGUGAGGUGUUAGGUUAAGUCCUGCAACGAGCGCAACCCCUGUCACUAGUUGCCAUCAUUCAGUUGGGGACUCUAGUGAGACUGCCUACGCAAGUAGAGAGGAAGGUGGGGAUGACGUCAAAUCAUCACGGCCCUUACGUCUUGGGCCACACACGUAAUACAAUGGCCGGUACAGAGGGCAGCUACACAGCGAUGUGAUGCAAAUCUCGAAAGCCGGUCUCAGUUCGGAUUGGAGUCUGCAACUCGACUCUAUGAAGCUGGAAUCGCUAGUAAUCGCGCAUCAGCCAUGGCGCGGUGAAUACGUUCCCGGGCCU
RNAcentral lists this ribosomal RNA (1345 nucleotides) under uncultured bacterium. Its description in RNAcentral is "bacterial SSU rRNA". It matches the Rfam family "Bacterial small subunit ribosomal RNA", at positions 28 to 1381 of the family's 1533-position model. The record is from RNAcentral.